Molecule: unclassified non-coding RNA, 229 nt
Filed under: Basidiomycota sp.
Lineage: Eukaryota; Fungi; Basidiomycota
Description: partial contains small subunit ribosomal RNA, internal transcribed spacer 1, and 5.8S ribosomal RNA
Rfam family: Eukaryotic small subunit ribosomal RNA (bases 1-47)
Source: RNAcentral
AAAGUCGUAACAAGGUUUCCGUAGGUGAACCUGCGGAAGGAUCAUUACAAAUCCAUCCACGUCUCAUACCUGAGACCACGUUGAAAUGUUCCCUAGCGCGCGCAUGCAUGCUGCAUGCGCGCGCUAGGCUUGUAAACUAGUAUCAUCUGUUGCUCAAAUGUAUCUUUCUUGAUUGUAAUGAUCAAGGCAAAACAAAGUACAACUUAUAACAAUGGAUCUCUAGGCUCUU